Long non-coding RNA from Polyodon spathula (Mississippi paddlefish), 1532 nucleotides. RefSeq lists it as uncharacterized. The record is from RefSeq and is a predicted model, not a curated record. The transcript is spliced from 3 exons. NCBI's taxonomy places the organism in Eukaryota, Metazoa, Chordata, Actinopteri, Acipenseriformes, Polyodontidae.
UUUAGAAGAUAAACACCCGCUAGGUAAUGGUUACAUUUUGUACUUGCAAGGGAACAAGAAAGUUUUCCAGAGGCUGCGUGUUGGAUGACCAAGGUGCUCUAACCGCAGGGCAAUUCAUGGCUCUGGUUUUGUCAUGCAAUACCACAGUAUAUGUUUAUUUAACCGCAGCAGUUGGAAUUUUCCAUUUACGUGACGACCUGCAAAUACAAAUACAAACCGAAGGGGGAGGGGGGCAUACUGUCCCUGUUUGUUCUCAGCUGCCUCAGUGUCAAGGAGUUUGAACUGCUUCUACCUCACCAGGUGUGUAUGAUCCUGUCACCCAAUGAAAAACCGCAUCGCUUCUGGUGUGUAGUGGCCUUUAUAAACUGACCGGUCAACCAAACACCCCACUCUGAGCCGGAGGGAAAACACUGGAUUCUACAAACCCCAAACAAAACUGCAUUUCAACAAAAGCCAACUCACAGGUAUCAGUAGCCAAGCCCUAAAAAUAUCCACUGUCACAACCUUGGUUAGCACUUUAUCCAUCUAUCCACAUGAGCUCCUUGUAAGCCUACACAGGCAUUCCUGCAUUAUUACAGUACACACUUGCAAGACGCCUACAGUUGCAUUAAAAGUUAUGCUUGGCUUGUUUUCAAUUCCAGCCCACGCUAUAUAUGAACGAAUGGAAAAAUGCAUAUUGUGUUUUGGUUAUUGGCAUAUUGUGUUUUUUUUAGUAUAUUCUUGCUUAUGUUAAUCUACCACAACUUGCGGAACAGUAACGGAAACCUUUGCUGUGAGUGUAAUCAUCUCCCAGCUGCAUUCUAACUAUAAUGUGAUGAAAGAUGUCCUAACCACAACAUGUUCCAUGACCUGGCACAACAUUUCAACUCAGUGUUUAGUACUGUAGUGUACACAAAGGAAACCUGGGGAGGAUAAACUUUUCAAUUUCUGCUUCUGUUUCAUUAAGAAUGUAGACACAACACACGCAAAACACCUCCGCAGAAAUGGAUAGUGGAGAGACUGUGCUUUGAUGGCAAUCAACUUGAACUUAAAUCUGCAGCAGGGAAUCUUGGAGUUAUCUUUGAUCCCAAGCUCUUUUGACUCUCACAGCCAUGCGAUUACAAAAAACUCCUAUUUUGAGCUUGGGCAUAUUUCUAGAAUUGGAGCCUUGCUGUCUCAAAGGAUGCAGAGAUCCUGAUUGGCACUUUUGAUUGAUUAUUGAAAAUCUCUCUUUAUAGGCCAUCCUGAUUCUACCAUUUCACGACUUCAGCUUCUCCAAAACUCUACUGCCCAUCUCUUCACACAAACUAAACCAUGCCAGCACAUUAGCCCUGUCUUGGUAUCCCUACACUGGCUGCCUGUUAAGCACAGCAUUGAGUUUAAAGUCCUAUAAGGCUUGUUGGGAAUUUGGCCCUGGUUACUCUGUGAGCUGCUGAAGCCGUCCACUCUGGGUCUUUCUUUUCAUUCCUCUCACUCAGCUCUACUCUCUGCUCUUUCUUUCAACUGCUCUCUUUCUAAUCAGACACUGAAAUUCAUUCCCUGGGAGUAUUCGC